GACGAACCGUGCGAACGUUAUUCGGAAUCACUGGGCUUAAAGCGCGUGUAGGCGGGACGGCACGUCGGUCGCUGAAAUCCCCCGGCUCAACCGGGGAACGGGCGCCGAUACGACCGCCCUGGAGGGGCGUAGGGGGACCUGGAACUUCCGGUGGAGCGGUGAAAUGCGUUGAGAUCGGAAGGAACGCCCGUGGCGAAAGCGAGGUCCUGGACGCUUACUGACGCUGAGAAGCGAAAGCAUGGGGAGCGAACGGG
Molecule: ribosomal RNA, 254 nt
Filed under: uncultured bacterium
Lineage: Bacteria
Description: partial 16S ribosomal RNA
Rfam family: Bacterial small subunit ribosomal RNA
Source: RNAcentral